This 471-nucleotide ribosomal RNA is filed under the name uncultured Planctomycetota bacterium. Its description in RNAcentral is "bacterial SSU rRNA". It matches the Rfam family "Bacterial small subunit ribosomal RNA", at positions 961 to 1415 of the family's 1533-position model. Lineage: Bacteria; Pseudomonadati; Planctomycetota. The record is from RNAcentral.
GCGCAAAACCUUAUCCCAGACUUGACAUGUACGAAAGAGGCUGCAGGUAGAACCCGGAAACGGGAACGAACGGUAUCCAAUCCGGAAGCAGCUACAGGUGCUGCAUGGCUGUCGUCAGCUCGUGUCGUGAGGUGUCGGGUUAAGUCCCAUAACGAGCGAAACCCUUACCCUGAGUUGCUACCCUCUGGGGCACUCUCGGGGGACUGCCGGUGUCAAACCGGAGGAAGGUGGGGAUGACGUCAAGUCCUCAUGGCCUUUAUGUUUGGGGCUGCACACGUGCUACAAUGGCGUGAACAAAGGGAUGCGACUGCGCGAGCAGAAGCGGACCCCCGAAAACACGCCCCAGUUCAGAUCGCAGGCUGCAACUCGCCUGCGUGAAGCCGGAAUCGCUAGUAAUCGCGGGUCAGCAACACCGCGGUGAAUGUGUUCCUGAGCCUUGUACACACCGCCCGUCAAGCCACGAAAGCGCGG